AGGACGAACGCUGGCGGCGUGCUUAACACAUGCAAGUCGAGCGGUAAGGCCCUUUCGGGGGUACACGAGCGGCGAACGGGUGAGUAACACGUGAGCAAUCUGCCCUUCACUUCGGGAUAAGCCUCGGAAACGGGGUCUAAUACCGGAUAUGACCGCGCUGCGCAUGUGGUGUGGUGGAAAGUUCUGGCGGUGGAGGAUGAGCUCGCGGCCUAUCAGCUUGUUGGUGGGGUAAUGGCCUACCAAGGCUUCGACGGGUAGCCGGCCUGAGAGGGUGACCGGCCACACUGGGGCUGAGACACGGCCCAGACUCCUACGGGAGCAGCAGUGGGAAUAUGGACAAUGGGCGAAAGCCUGAUCCAGCAACGCCGCGUGAGGAUGACGGCCUUCGGGUGUAAACCUCUUUCAGCGCCGACGAAGCGAGAGUGACGGUAGGCGCAGAAGAAGCACCGGCCAACUACGUGCCAGCAGCCGC
This 472-nucleotide ribosomal RNA is filed under the name uncultured soil bacterium. RNAcentral describes it as "bacterial SSU rRNA". It matches the Rfam family "Bacterial small subunit ribosomal RNA", at positions 26 to 518 of the family's 1533-position model. The record is from RNAcentral.